Molecule: ribosomal RNA, 526 nt
Filed under: uncultured bacterium
Lineage: Bacteria
Description: bacterial SSU rRNA
Rfam family: Bacterial small subunit ribosomal RNA
Source: RNAcentral
GACGAACGCUGGCGGCGUGCCUAAUACAUGCAAGUCGAACGCUUUUUCUUUCACCGGAGCUUGCUCCAUCGAAAGAAAAAGAGUGGCGAACGGGUGAGUAACACGUGGGUAACCUGCCCUCGAGAAGGGGAUAACACUUGGAAACAGGUGCUAAUACCGUAUAACAAUAUUUGUCGCAUGGCAGAUAUUUGAAAGGCGCUUUAGCGUCACUCGAGGAUGGACCCGCGGUGCAUUAGCUAGUUGGUGAGGUAACGGCUCACCAAGGCCACGAUGCAUAGCCGACCUGAGAGGGUGAUCGGCCACACUGGGACUGAGACACGGCCCAGACUCCUACGGGAGGCAGCAGUAGGGAAUCUUCGGCAAUGGACGAAAGUCUGACCGAGCAACGCCGCGUGAGUGAAGAAGGUUUUCGGAUCGUAAAACUCUGUUGUUAGAGAAGAACAAGGAUGAGAAUAAAACGUUCAUCCCUUGACGGUAUCUAACCAGAAAGCCACGGCUAACUACGUGCCAGCCGCCGCCGUAAAAC